RNAcentral lists this ribosomal RNA (392 nucleotides) under uncultured bacterium. Its description in RNAcentral is "bacterial SSU rRNA". It matches the Rfam family "Bacterial small subunit ribosomal RNA", at positions 29 to 426 of the family's 1533-position model. The record is from RNAcentral.
AUUGAACGCUGGCGGCAUGCUUUACACAUGCAAGUCGAACGGUAACAGGCCUUCGGGUGCUGACGAGUGGCGAACGGGUGAGUAAUGCAUCGGAACGUGCCCAAUCGUGGGGGAUAACGUAGCGAAAGUUACGCUAAUACCGCAUAAGCCCUGAGGGGGAAAGUGGGGGACCGCAAGGCCUCACGCGAAUGGAGCGGCCGAUGUCAGAUUAGCUAGUUGGUGGGGUAAAGGCUCACCAAGGCGACGAUCUGUAGCGGGUCUGAGAGGAUGAUCCGCCACACUGGGACUGAGACACGGCCCAGACUCCUACGGGAGGCAGCAGUGGGGAAUUUUGGACAAUGGGCGCAAGCCUGAUCCAGCCAUGCCGCGUGCGGGACGAAGGCCUUGGUUGU